AUGGCCUCGAUACGCCAUAGGCCAUCUCCGUGUAAUCAUGCUACGAUCGAAUUUACAUGGCAAAUUGCGCGAAUCAGCGGAUCGAACGUUUUCUUCCUGUUAUCCAGCCGGAACAACGAUCCUCUUUAUCUCUUGAAAUAAUGCGGACGGAGUUAAAAAGGUUUGAUCUUCCUAGGAAGACCAGAUAUAAUUAUGAUGGAGAGCCGGAGGUGGGAAUCUUACGGGCGUUGCGAUAAGGCACACAUUAAUUGAAGAACAACAUCCGGCAUGGAGCCGGUGGCCGACGUCGUGACAUCAUUGUCUACGACAGAACGAAAAUGGAAUUAAACGAAGCACCAUCGGCCUGAGCCGAUUCAAAGCAAAGGAUACUGUGAGCUUCCUUUGACUCAACGGAUCCCUAAAAUUUACUCAUCAGCUCACAAAACCCUUCCAAACACCCGGAGGUAACGUGGGUGGAGGACAAUAAUAUCCACGUGCACGAAGGUGAGCACACGAAGCAAGCAAGAAAAUAAACAAAUGAGUAAGAAAGAAAGAAAGAAAGAAGAGGCGGUUGGACAAGGCGCAUCGCGUACGCGCGCGUAGCUCGUGUCCGGUCAGCCGUUAAGAAGGAAGCUUCAGGCCGAUGUCGAAGAUAAGGCCGGGGACGUGUCCCUCUGUGCGUGGCAUUCUCCCGGAGAAAUGGUACCGAAGUUCGGGGACCAACGAGUGUGCCAGGCCCUCACGUAAUCCACGGAUACGUCGCGACGAAUUUGUACGUCUGCCCAAUGAGCCAGAAGCCACCCUGCGUUAGCCUCGUUUCGCGUUCACCGUUCUUCUCCUCUUUUCGGGCCGUUCCACCGAGGAGAAGCCACGAAACUGGGCCCAUCUUCAUUCAAAAUGGCUACCGUCUCCACGUCGGUGGACAACCGAUGUAAACUACAAGCGCUCCUCUCGAACACAAACUGCCUCGUCGAUCCCUCGUCGAUCGCGUCGCCGGUUUUUUCGAUUUCUUCAAAGUGGCAACGCUUGCUUUUCGGGAAGACGGCGAUAGAUCUUGAGCAUAGGAUGAUAGAGAGAGAGAGACAGACACACAGAGAGAGAUAUUUCUUUGAUCGGGUUUGGCUUGGUUGAGUUGGUUGGGUUUGUUAGCAUUGAUAGAGAUUGGAGCUUUUAGAAGUCUUUCAUUUAACGUUUUUUUGUAACGUACGUUGAGUGGACUUUAGUGGGUUUUUUAAUAGGAAAUGUACUAAUACUAGAGUUACUUUAAUAUAUAUCUCAGUAUGUGAUACCCAGAUCAUUAGAAUUCGACCAAUAAUAUAUGUACUUAAUCACACUUCUGGCCUACAAGUGAAUAUUAAUAUUAGCAAAAACACUUGCAUGUUUUUAGUAAUUUGAAAAAAAAACUCAAUGUACCGUCAAAAAACUCAGUCGUGUGGACAGUCAUUGACUGACUUGGUAGUUUUAGUGUCACGGAUAACUUCUUAUAAGAAGCGGCAAACCGCUUUAUAUUUCCUUCAUUAAAAGAAUCCCACUUUCGUAUUAUCAGAAUUAUCACCCUCUAAUCUCCAUUUCCCAAUACAAAAGAACAUAUAUCAAUGUUACUAAAAGGUAUCUCUAAAAGUAGUCACCUUACCUCCGCACUAGCCCAAUUAUAUCAAACCAUUAAAACCUCGAAUCAAAUCAUUCAUCUCCUUAUCUAAACCUCCUAAUACCAUCCCUGAAAAACCAACCAACCUGUCAAGCCACCAAACAACCUCACAUCCCUCAAUCCUCUACCAAAGUCAGUUUCGGAUAAGCUUUCCAUGUAUAAUACUCGCAUGGAACAACAUCAAAAUUACAGGUACCAUUGGUAGCAUCAUAACGUCCGCGAACGAUCGGAAAAUCUGUCUAUCGUUAAGAGGGGGGUAGUACGGGGCGAGUAGAACGAAACGGUUCGAAAGGAGGAGUGACGAAGAGGAGUAGUGGACUGCUGAGAGAGGGAGAGAGAAAGGAGAGCACGGAGCUCGUGUUUCCGGCCGGGUGAACAACAAUGCCCGCAGACAAAUGAGCAUCCCGCCUCCAUUGUUCGCUUCAUCGGCACGGCGCAGCCUCUCUCUCCCCUGUUACCCACCCUGGUUCCGCUUACGCCCCUCUCCCUCCCCAAUGUCCUCCUCUCCUCGAUCCCUCUUGCUGUCUCUCCCUUUACCCCGAUGAUCGAAGGUUCCACGUCCUCGUCCUCGUCAUCGUCCUCGUCCUCGUUCUCGUUCUCGUUCUCCUCAUCGUCGUCAUCGUCUUCGCCAUCCUCCUCAUCGUCGUCGAACAGCCAUAGCUGGGGGGUCCUCGAUCAACCUGAUGCGGGCCAACACCGAUUAAACAUCUCUGCUUCGUCGAAUCUCCGUUAACGGGUAUCCCCUCUCUGUGUCCUCGUGAAGAGGUAGGGUUCCCCAUGGUGCUACUCUCUUUUGUCCAGAGUUCUACCGUGGUUCUUCUCUAUUUUUACCCUCAUUGUCUCCUCCGUGUGCGCUCGAUGAAAAUAACGCACGCCGAUGUCCGGAUGGAGGCGACGCGGAUCUUGUCGAUAGCCUCCAACAUUUUGCUCACUUUCUGUAUCUUCCUGGCCGUCUCUGCCUUGCCUUUUUUCAUUGUUUGUCAGGUUCAACGUUCAACCCUCUUGCGUUAUUGAACUGUAUAAUAUUACCAGUAGACUGCGGAUGUCUAAUUCAUGUUCUUGUGGGUAGAAUCGUAGAAACGAAAUCUAUUUUAUUAGAUUCUCUCGUAAUAACGAAUUUGAUAAUAAAACUGAAUUUCGUAAGUUACAAGUUAUUUAAUUAUUCUAUUUGACAAUCAAAACUGUAAAAUUUUGAAAAAAAGAGUUCUAUCGUCGAGAACUUAUAACUUGCUAUUUUCAGUGGUCAGAGGCACGAGGGAUCUGUUAAAUUUUUCAGUUUCGUCUACUUUCUCUUUUUGUUUCCUAUUUGUAGUUUCUAUAGCUUUUCUCCUUUCUUUCCGAAUCGUUUGUUUGGUUAUUUUGUAUUGUUGUUGUGCAUGUUUAUUUAGCUAGCGAGCAACGUUGCAUGUUAAAAGCGGAUACGGGAGCUGAGAAUUUGAAUAAGUAUCGAAGAAAUUUAUUUUCCCGUCUGCUUCAGGUUUUCGUUGUUUUACUUUCAUGUUCUAGUACGAAGGACUACGAGGCGUGAAAUCGAAGGCUAUCGGUAAAAUGUGCUUCAUUUGCGUUUAAAGGCUUGCUUUGAAGAUUGAAAAAGUCAUUUACUGCUGUAAUUGACUUGAAUACUUACGAUUUGCAUUUCAAGUUGGACAAUCUUUUCAUUCCUCUGGCAACAAAACUAUUUAAACUGCUGCUACUUCCUAAAUUUUUCAGUUCUUUCCACUUUGUUUGCAAAAUUAUUUUAUUUUGUUUUUGUGAGCCGUAUUAACCUCCAUUUCCAUCAUUUUUAACUGACCUAGAAAUUAAAAAAAAAAAUUGUCCAAUUUUGCGGUAAAUAAAAUAAAAGAUUAACGACAUGUAGGAAUAAAUAGAGAAAGAAGAUCGAUUAAAGGUGAGAAAUUGUACGAAAGGUUGAACGAUCAUUAAUGUUAACUAUUUAUUGAAGAGGAACGAGGCAUUUCAUCGCGAAAUUAAUCGACUACAACGGCUAACUUUUAUUAUUAGUUAGAUAAAAUCAAGAGAUCGUUGUUGUUCAAUUGAAUAAGCUGCGUGUUUAUUAGACAUGUGUCUAUUAAAACACAACACCUGAAUAAAUCGAAUCGUAUGGAUGUAAAUUAAUUAUGAUUGUAUUUUGAUUAACAUUACGAUACAGUUUGUAUAAUAACGUGAGAAUGAAAAUGCCGCAACGAGAUUCCCUUAAUAAAUUUGGUUAUAAUAUCCGUUCAUUUCCGGCUGUAACGGUAUACACUGUGAAACCUUAUUUAAACAAUUAAAAUAGGUCUGCUCAUAAAAAUGACAUCGCUAUUCGCAAAGAAUUCCCAUUAUAUCCAAAAACUGACGUUGUUUCCGCACUUUCUCAAGUGUUACAAGUGUCACAUAACGCUUUAUUAUUUUUACUUCACACUUUUCCUUCCUAAGUACUUAUCAUGGUGCACAUAUUUUCAUGGAAUUAAUAUUCUUUAUAACAUUUGAAAGCGAAGACUAUUUUCAAAUUUCUAACCUCAUUUUUUAAUAGAUAUAAGAGUUUUAAAUUUUCUAAAGUACUAUUCACUAUAUUCUAAACUUAUCCAUAAAAAUUCAUAUUUUUGGGACCUAAAAAAUACAGUCGUAUAGUAAGUGAAAAGAGUCGCAGCUAUUAACUAGUAGAUGGUAAUAUACAAAUUAGAUACUUUUUUUGGUUAUGUUUAUCGAUGGGGCGGUGCGCGGUCAUCCGGUACGAGUUUUUGGAUGCACGAUGAACUAACAAUAAGAAGGUAACGCGGGAGGCUCGGAGGGCCAGAUGUUGUGCAAGGAUUCAGCAUCCUCGAGCCCAUUCAUGGCUCCCGUAGCAGAGCACCUUACUCGAACCGAACAACGUCGACCUUCUGCACCACAGAAAUUCGAUGCUGCUCGGAACCUCGGCCAGUGUGUAAUAUCUUGCUCAUAUAUAUUCUAUCUUGUUCCAAUUUCCAAAUCUAUCGGACAGUCGGAAACGAACGAAGUUCUCCGCGUAUGUGAUGCAUUAUUGAUAUCUUUAAUCAAGAUUUCUCUGCGAUUUGGUUAUUCACAUGUUACAUAUGGCGAUCAAUUCGAAUUAUUAAGGUUAAAAACGAAAGCAUGUAUCGACAGUUUGAUUUUCUUCUAUCUGAAAUAUGAACGUUAAGGGUGAUAUUUAUAUAUAUUGAAGGAGUGUGGAAGAUUUCUUCCCUGUUGAUGCGGUGCUCGUUUUAUUAUCUGAUCUUCUGUCAAAAGCUUCCAUGUCAUUUAACAGGUCGUCGUAUGUCUCUUCCACUGCGUCACAAAUUUCUGAACUCCUGUUUGAAACAGGUAAGAUAACAAUCUUUGAUUUUAAUCAGGCUUUCGUCGUUUGUGCUUACCUGUAAUUAGCAUGGUAGUGACAAAGUUUACACUCUUCACUCGCUGCAAGUGCUGCUUUGUCUAGUCCAUGUUCUUUGAAGAUUUUUAACUGACUGUACCAUUUUCUUUUACAUUUGAAAGAUUCUCGAUCUUCUUUCUUUACCAACUUUUUAUCUGCAAAUUUUCAUUACAUUUGUAUUUUAGAGAUUACAUUUCGACAAUUAUAGUUAAAUAUGUAUGGAAAAUUGAAAUGGUUCAACAGCCAUACUUAAUCUUUCACAUUUUUAACAUUCUUGGCUAUCAUUUAUAUUUUACCAACCAAUUCGCCAAAAAGAUAAAACAAUGUGUACCUAACAAUUUUUACAACUGUUUACAAUUUUUACAACAAUUUUUACCUGAUAUUAUUCGGUAAGGUUCAAACGGUCUCGUUUCUGUCAUAAACUUCCAAAAAUUCUUCACUUUGAUUUGCUGGCUAUAACUUAUCUUUUUAUCAAAUGUCAAUUCUAUACAAAUCUUCGUGUUUUGUGUCAUAUUUAAAUAUUCCGCCGAUUUUUCUCAUAGGUAAAUACGUCACUUCCUUUUAAGAAAUAUUACUAGCUGCAUGUGGACAUGUGAAUGGGAUAUCUAGUAACACUUAAUGUUACCAUUGCAGCUAAGUCGAUAAUAUAAACUUGUAACCAAAAAUACCAAAUUUCCAAGCUCGUGUACUUUUUAUAUUUACAGAUAUUAUAUUAUAUUAAACAUUUUAAUAAUAAUUUAUCAAUAAUACAAACAUGAAAGAUCGUAUUGCCAAUAACUAAUAUUACCAUACUAUGGUAAAACAGAACAAGAGCGGCAGCUUUUAAAAAAAUGUAGUUUCGACAUUUCGCAAGUAAAAGCGCGUCCUCAAAAAAUAUCAUUCGUUGGAAGGUUCAAUCGA
Molecule: RNA transcript, 5879 nt
Organism: Bombus terrestris (buff-tailed bumblebee)
Lineage: Eukaryota; Metazoa; Arthropoda; Insecta; Hymenoptera; Apidae
Exons: 6
Source: RefSeq, a predicted model, not a curated record